UGGCUUUGGUCACAGUCAAACUGCUUUAAGUUUGACCAUGUUUAUAGAAAAAAAUAGUAAUAUUUUCGACCCAAGAUAAAUUUAUUAUAAAAAUAUGUUUAAUUAUUAAUUUAAUAAAACUAAUUUGGUAAUGUAAAUAUUACUAUAUUUGUCUAUAAACUUAGUCAAACUUAAAGCAGUUUGACUUUGACUAAAGUCAA
This 200-nucleotide microRNA precursor is filed under the name Oryza nivara. RNAcentral's name for it is "MIR1435 microRNA precursor family". It matches the Rfam family "MIR1435 microRNA precursor family". Lineage: Eukaryota; Viridiplantae; Streptophyta; Magnoliopsida; Poales; Poaceae. The record is from Rfam by way of RNAcentral.